Daktulosphaira vitifoliae (grape phylloxera) is the source of this 313-nucleotide long non-coding RNA. RefSeq lists it as uncharacterized. The transcript is spliced from 3 exons. The record is from RefSeq and is a predicted model, not a curated record. NCBI's taxonomy places the organism in Eukaryota, Metazoa, Arthropoda, Insecta, Hemiptera, Phylloxeridae.
CCCUAUUUAAUAUUCUAUUAAAAAUUUUGCAAAAUGAACUGUGUAAUUUAUUUUGGUGUGUUAUUAUGUGUUAAAUCUUCUUUCGUGAUACUAAGUUCGAGUCACUGCAAUAAACAAAUUGAUAAAUAUCAACGUGACCAAAAUAAUCCAAUUGAAAGGCUAACAAAAGAACAAAGAGUUGAAAAAAAACAAUAUCAUCAACAUACCUAGCUCCACUUUUCGGAAAAUCACCAUAAGUGUUUUUUAAAUUUAUUACGAACCUACUCAUGAAAAGUCUUUAAUGAAAAACUUCAAUUUUUCUUCAAAUAUUAAU